AGCCAAAUAAAUAUUUAUUUUCAGAUAUGGUAAUAAUACAGUGAUAAGAGCUUCUUAUGGAGUUAAGAAAGGAGAAUACACCAAGAAAAAUGGAAAGAAAUGAGGUUUUCUUUUUGAAAGAUGUGUACUUGCGUAGAAUUUCUUAAGAAAACCUCACCAAUUGUAUUCUGCUUUUCAAUGAACAUGUAUGCCAAAAAAGAGUCAAGCUGGAGCAACAAGAUUGUCGCCUUCAAAUUAGUCCUGCAAAUACCUCUUCAGAAAAUUAUACUCUCGAUCAUUUAAAUCCAUGGACUCUAUGCUGAACCUCCCGAACCUGCUUUUCCUAAUGGUUGUUCUACACUGCUAGAAAUGUAUUAUUGUUAUGAAGAGAUGCAGUGUACAACAAAUAUGUGCAAGGUACUGGAAAUAUGAACGUCCGGUAGACAUCAGAAAGAAAAUUCUAUAGAAGAAUCAACGAACAAUCGCAGGACUUUAUGCUGUAUAUGUCUAACAAUAAAUUUAUAAUUAAAUGUGUUAA
This 517-nucleotide long non-coding RNA is filed under the name Sitophilus oryzae (rice weevil). Its description in RNAcentral is "uncharacterized LOC115883553, transcript variant X2". The record is from RNAcentral. Lineage: Eukaryota; Metazoa; Arthropoda; Insecta; Coleoptera; Curculionidae.